Molecule: long non-coding RNA, 2657 nt
Organism: Triticum aestivum (bread wheat)
Lineage: Eukaryota; Viridiplantae; Streptophyta; Magnoliopsida; Poales; Poaceae
Exons: 3
Source: RefSeq, a predicted model, not a curated record
AAUCUGGUCGCAAACUAAGGCAACUCCAGGACCUCCCAGUUCCAAAAAAAACUCCACGACCUCGACCUCACCGUCUGGCACGACGGCGGCCUGGUGCGAGACGCCGCCCACCACCAACGUCCCCUGCCUGCACGGCGACCUCGCCGCACUGCACCACAUCGUCGCCUCCCUGCACGAUCGCCAUCGCGAUUGUUGCCGCUCAUAGUGUGGCAUCCAUCCCGCGAGAUCCCCAAAGUCCAGGAGAUGGAACCUGCCCCGACACCAGCCUUGCCGCCGCGCCCGUGCACGGCCCUACACCCGCGCCCGCCGCGUCCCCUGAACCAGCCGGCCACACGCAGCUCUGAUUCUUCCGUCCAUUGCUUCAGGUUCCACUUCUUCGUAGCGUGACGGCGACUCAGGGGGCUGGAUUUGGCCACCGUCUGGAGGGACGCUAUAUAUUGGAUUUGGAUGAUACCGUCUUGAUGUAUAUAUGGUGCCGUGAUAGCCGAUUAAAUCUGCAAAUUCUUUGUCGUUGACUAUGGCCUUGUCUGUCAACUACCUUGAUAGGUUCCUCUCCGUCUAUCCCCUUCCUCGCCCUCGGCUCAAGGGAACCAUCUCCAAGCCUACCGUACUCGAAUCAUGGAAGCGUGCAAAGUACAGCGCAUCGUGGUGUCGCUGGCCACCCGAUCUCUACAGCCACAACAAACGGCUACAUGACCGACCAGGCCGGUGUCUUGACCUCUGAAUCACGUCGCUGUGCUAGCGCCUUGAUCUCGCAUGCGGCCGUCUAAAACCCGAGAGGCCAACCUCGCUCGAGCGUCGCCGGCCAGCACUCAUCUGCACAGGAGCAGCUGGUUGGAUAUAUGUGCCUCCUCCGCCUCUUAUUCCCUGAAACGUAAUGUUAUGAGUAUAGUUUCUAAUCACUGAUGUCACAUUGGCGUAGAAUUAAACUGCAUAGGUUAGAUUGACAUUUUGCCCUAUGUUUAAUUACUAUAUGUGUUGCACACUGGUCCAUGUAUUUAUUCUGUUGGUCAAAAGUUUUGACUAUCAAGUUUCGUCAGACGUGAGUUGUAGAAAUUUUCAGUUACUUUUCUAUGCCUACCAUUUAUCUCUGAACCGUUGUGAUGGAGAUUGUAAUACUGUGUUUAAAAUGUGUCAGCCCAUAUGCGAGAUCUUCUUUUCAAGAUGGCAACCAUGAUUAUAAGUUAAUCAUUUAUACUUUACAAGCAUAUCAGAUACGUGUAAUUAAUGUGUUUGCAUUAGAGCUUUCAUAGGGAAAUUGCAUAAGAUCUUAUAAAACCAUUUUGUCACACACAUUUUUCUGAAUGGCAGCUGCAAAUGCCAGGUAGCAGCUUGCACUAGGUUGACGUGAAUAUUUACUCUUCUUUUGCACUGGUACUGAAACUUGGCAGUUCACAAGGAUUGGCACCACGGACUGAAUGGUCCCAACCAUCGUGGACACACCAGGGGCAGGGGCUGCAUGCUGCCAAGGCCGAGGCAACUGCCAAGAAGACUGGGCUCAAUGUAGUGACCGAGGAGGCGCAGGUCGCAGGUUAUGCUCUUCUAAUUAGUAUGAUGAUUUGCAUAUGUAACAAUGCUACUCUCAAUGGAUUUGCUAACAAUCUCCAGAUUUUCCCUUUGAGUGUGUCUGUGUGUGUGUGUGUGUUUUGCAUGAGUAUUUAACCAAAAACUACCACAAUUCAUGGAACCGUGCCUACAAACUACCACUUUACGAUUUUGUUCUGAAAAAUACCACUUUUUUGCUAAUCUGUGACUAAAAACUAUCAUGUGUGUAAAUCAACCGAUUCAUCCAUUUUAAACGCGUUUAUGAUAGACCUGGCCCGCAUGCGUAAGUCAACGCCCCGCUCCCUCCCCUGCACCGGCGAGCAGCAGCAGCUCCGCCUUGCACUGUGCCGGCGAGCACGGGCAGCUCCACCGCGCACCCCCCUGCCGGCGAGAAGCAGCAGCACCGCGGCAUUGGUAUAUGUGUUUUGGAAUCUUGGUAGUAGUUCAGUAGUGAUCCAGUCGUAAUAUCUUACAAGUACCAUGCUAAUCAAAAAUUUCUUGAUCAAGUUUAUUAUUAUUUCCAUUGUACUAUACUUUAUUUCCAUGGUAUCAAGUUCUACAAAUUGCAUGUUCUGGUACAAUAUUUGUUUUUUUUAGAUGCUGCCUUUUUUGCUAAUAAAUCUAUAGUUCAAUCUGGAUGCAGAAUCAAAGAAAAUUAUGGCCUUGUGUUGAUAGUUGCAGUUACACUGUGAUGGAUUGUGUUUACUUUUUGUUUAUGGAAAUAGAGAAACUGAUUAUUCUGUUUGCAGGACGGGUAUCCUAAAUUCUAAUUCAGACAUUAGUGAUGAUAUAACAAUUUCCUACGCCAAAUUGUCAUUCGGGCGAGCCUAGCUUAGCUUGAAACCACCGGAGAUUGUGUGGUUCACGAGAGGUAGAGACUCCACCUGAUAUUUUGUCGUGCCCACUGACAACAAUGACAUGGAUAGUGACGUCACUGCUGGACAUAAUUGCCCUAUUUGUAAACUGUUGGGUAGUCCUAUUUGGUGGAUUGUAACGAGCUAUAUAGUAUGUUGAAAGCAGAUGUAACCUCAUUCAUUUUCACAUAGAUGCCUCUCCAGUAUAUCUGAUCUUUCGAGCCUACAGUUUGUAAUGUUGUAUUUCUUUUGUGAAAC